UGAAUAUGACUCCAAAUACUCAAUAGAGAGAUUGAUUAUACUAACAAUUUGAAUUAUGAAAAUUACAAUAACCAAGCACUAUUUGAUAGAGGGAUUUCUUGGCUUUAAUUUGUAGAAAAACAGAAAACUUAGCUUUGUUCUUGGUGAGUAGAAGAGGUAAUGUUAGUAAGAAAUUAUCUAAAUUACUUCGACAUAAAUAUUAAUUUUAAUAAUUUCCUAUCAACUAUUGUUGUUGCAAACUAGGUUUUUUUUCAUUACUGUCAUAAAUAACAGUAAAGAACAGAAACAUUGAAACAUAUUCACUUAGAAAGAGGAAGCAAAAUAACAAGUAUCAUAUUUUCAUACAUAAUCCCCAAAAAUUUCAUUCAUUCAUUAAGGAUUUUUUUUUCACAUAUCUAACUUGUUUUACUUGCGAUAUGUCUAGUUAAAGGGAGUUUUUCUUGAAAAGUUGACUGAGUAUCCCAGUUGAAGAGCAUAUAUUACCUGCAACCAAUAACAUAAUCGAUCUUCAUGUACCUUCCAAUCACAAUAUACAUCAGGAUUGUGAACGAGUAUUAUUCAUGUUAAACAACUCAAAAAGCCCCCGGUUCUCUCUUGAAGGUAACAAGGAAGGGUACCAUUUUCUCCAGGAAUAAUGAACUACCUGGUUCUAUCAUGUAUAGUAACCGUUGCCAGUUUAAUAUCCAUGUAAAUAACAUUUUACUCUCACCAUACUCGGAGUUUCAUUUACUGUGCUCACAAGAAAGGUAGUUAAGAGUUAAAGGUACCUGCGUGCAUUUUUGGGGUACCAGGGUGAAAAAAGAAAAGAAAGUACAGACUUUUGAGCAUAUAAAGACAUGGUCAUUUUUUGUUUCAAAUGUAGAUGUUUACAUUGUUAAAAGUCUUGGUGUAAAUUAUCUAUCAUCUUGAUGUUACGUCUAUUACAGAUUUUGUAUACUCCCCUGCAACUUCAAAGUGAGGAAGGAUGAAAUCUGUUUCGCGAUGCAUAUACGCCACCACUAGGUGCAUUUUGAUGAAAAUUUACCCUAGCCGGGAAAAAGUAUUUUAAAGCUUAGAUGCAAGUGAUGUUUUAACACAUUAGUGAGAAAUCUACAUCAACAAAAUGCACUAAUUCGCUACAAGAACAUCCCCGCAUCUGAAAUGACUAUAUUAAAUGAAUCCUAUGACUAGCAGCUGGCACCGAUACUAUUGAAUGAAAACAAAGUUAUAUUAUGACUGAUAAAUCUUACCAGAAUAAGUGCAGAGCAUCAUAGAGCAGGGAAGCAGUCAUCUUUCGGAAUAUUUUCAGGUUGAAGUUACUGCAGUCAUUUGUUGCACAAGUAUUUCCUCAAUUCUAUCUGUGAAACCUGAGAUAGUCUGCCGUGCAUUUGUAUCCAAUGAGUUUGCCACUUCCUGAAAAGAUGAAAUGAAAUAAAGAUCGGAAGGACAAAAAACUAGGAUAGCGUCGAACCUGUCGAAUAGUUUUCUAACUUUAUGGUCUCAAAACAACUCGAAAAGCCCCUGGUUCUCUCUUGAAGAGUCCGAGCAACUUAGCCCAAUUGUAUAGAUGACUAGGUGGAGUUUGUAGAUAAUCAGUUGAUUAUGUAAAUUACUUUUUGGUAUACCACUUGUAUACGGUCUUUUAAUGGUGGCCGUGUUUAUGACAUGAAAUAUGUUUACUUGAUAAAAAAAAAGGGGUCCAACCAUCCCUUUCUUUCCACAAGAACAACCGAUUAACAUGAAUCUUCUACAUUCAUAUAAAGCCAAUAACUGACGCGUCCCAACUUUUUUCCUACUAAUUUGAAACACUUUUAGGAGGCAAUUUGAAUAGUUUACCCUUUUUUUUUUUUUGCAGGAAAUACCUAAUAUCAGAAAUUUAGGAAUUUGAUGGGUUUGCUAGUCAUAUAAUCUAUAACAGCGAUACAAAUAAGCAACUUACCGCAACCUUACAAAGGAGGGUCAAAGAUAUCUCUUGUGAGUACUGACUUGAGCUCUUGAGAGAC
RNAcentral lists this long non-coding RNA (1982 nucleotides) under Capsicum annuum. RNAcentral describes it as "long non-coding RNA (CANN_LNC005842)". The record is from RNAcentral. Lineage: Eukaryota; Viridiplantae; Streptophyta; Magnoliopsida; Solanales; Solanaceae.